RNAcentral lists this small nucleolar RNA (54 nucleotides) under Lepisosteus oculatus (spotted gar). Its description in RNAcentral is "Small nucleolar RNA SNORD66". It matches the Rfam family "Small nucleolar RNA SNORD66". Rfam says of the family: snoRNA HBII-142 is part of the C/D family of snoRNAs. It is the human orthologue of the mouse MBII-142 snoRNA and is predicted to guide 2'O-ribose methylation of small 18S rRNA at residue C1272. Lineage: Eukaryota; Metazoa; Chordata; Actinopteri; Semionotiformes; Lepisosteidae. The record is from Rfam by way of RNAcentral.
CUCCCCUGAUGAUCCGUUGUUUAGUUCCAUACUGUCUGGGCCACUGGUCCGGAG